UAAAUAUAAAACAUUUAGAGGAUUAUGUGAUAAAAAAAAUAAGUGCUCAGGUGCUGCUCACGUCUGCACCAUGCCCACACUACCUCCUUGGGUGUGUACUUUGCUUCAUUAAAACACUCUGCCUGUACCUGCUCAACCUGCUUGUGAAUUAUUUCUCAGUCAGACUCAAGAACUCUCCUGCAUGUUGAGGUCUCAGCUAGCACACAGGGAGAUGUCUUCAACUGGAUUGGACUGGAUUGUCUGACAACAUCUUGGUGACUGCAAAGGGACUUCUAAUGCAGCCCUCACUAAUGGUUUAGGCAAGGGGGGAUUCUAUGCUACUUUAAGAGGGAGGAGGCUGACAUCUGGAUCUUAGUUGGCACAUCAGAAGGAUGGAAUUCAGGAAGAGCUGUCCCCUUUCCAUAUAAGGAUUACCAACCCCUCUCCAAAUAUGAAGAUCCUUAUUUAACCUGGAACACACCAUUGCCACUUCAGACCAAGGGUUCAACUGAGGACCACCCACCAUCAAUACAAAAAUGAACUUCAUCGCCCUUAAUCAGCAGGAAGCAGUUACUGAAGACUGACCUUCACCCCUUCCCAAAUCCUCUACCACAUAUAAAACAGAAAAAGGAGGAGUAUAAGAAAAUAGUAAUUUACCCUCUGUUUACCCCAUGGUCCCAAGCAUAUAAGCCAGUGAGAAUUAUGCAUGGACUUGUCAGGGCUUGCCUGGGCUUCUAAACAUUCCGACCUGCCCCCAAGGCAACAGGCCAAGCGAUACUCAACCACAAUAAAAGGCACAACACUCUGCACCACGCUGCUGCUCCCUCUCUCCCUCUAGGGGCAGCCACUUUCUCUUUUAGAUAAUAAAAUCUCUUGCAUGGGCCUGUGUCUCCUGAGUCGUUCUGGGUAAGGAGGGUCAUGGCGAGAUACCCUUUCAACAACUAUGUGACUUUCUUUAUCUGCCUUUAAAAUCUUUUAUUUUCACUUUGAUUAAAUGAUAAGUAUUGUUUUGUGGUGACAUAUAGUCCUAUUUAGGCAAGUGCCUUAAAACUUUUUGAUAAUUUUAACAACUUCCCAAAAUUAAAUUCUAAAUAAAGCCUUUUACUUCUAGUUAACUCCGAGAUUUUCCAGAGGGGUCCUGGAACAUUGUCAGAGGAUUUUCUCCCCAUAAAGAGAACUAUUUAGCUUUUUGGCUUAUAAAAAUCACCUGGGAAACAUUGUCAAAUGAAUGAUGCUAACUAAACUUUAGAUUACUGAACUGUUAUGUUACAGAAAUAACCAAAUUUCCUUGUCAAUUGCCUGAUGAUGAACUCUCAUCAGAUAUUUAAUCAUUGCUGUUUUUAAGUCUUUUGUCACUUAUAGUUACUGUUUUACUCUGGAACUAGUAGAAAAACUAGAUUCAAGCCAAACAAGAAUUAAUUACAUAAGAUUGAAUAAACUGAGGAGAAUGGUUUUAAUUUUUAUGAAUUUUUUCAAGUGUUUCUAAGCUUUAAAAAAAAGGUUUGUUAUUAAACGUUUUUGCUUCAGCUAAUUUACAGCAGUCUACUAAAUUAUACCUUUAUGAGCAGGACUGAAAUAUUUUCUUUCUCUUUACCUGAUCCCUCCCAAAUUUGGAAGCUCUCAGUGAACAUUUUUAUAUUUUAUGGCAGUAUAUUUAUUUACAUAAGUUCAAUAAGAACCUGUUCUCCUUGUGACAAGACACAAUUGAAAACAUUGCUUAUAUUACCAAGACUUUGACUGGAACAUUGUAUUUGUAAAUAAUCAGGCCAAAUUUUUUAAAUCUAAACUUAUUUUACUAACAAAUAAAUGUUAGUAUGGUUACUCCCUAAUAAAAAUGGGGGUGACUUUAGAGGGAAAAGAACUAUAUUUCAAUAGCUCACCUUUAUGGAUAUUAAAUUCUAAUACUGGUCAUUGUGAAAUGGACUGGAUCCUGAAUUCUGAUAUACUUCAUUAUCAGGCUAUGUACAACUCUCCUGACAGUUCCAGUCUUCUCCCAUCAUUUCACUUGGGGUCCUACUAUUUCUAGUCCUCCUAUUCCAUGUGGGUAUAAUUGCAGUAUUUUCAGAAUCUCUCACUUGGCCUUAGUGCAUCUCCAUAUCCAUAGGUGUUCCAAGGGGUGGAGAGAAGUAGUCCAUCUCCAUCUCAAUAGGUAAUUUCGAGGGCGAGUGCGGUCAUAACUGGACCAGAGAGGUUG
Molecule: non-coding RNA, 2173 nt
Organism: Manis javanica (Malayan pangolin)
Lineage: Eukaryota; Metazoa; Chordata; Mammalia; Pholidota; Manidae
Source: RefSeq, a predicted model, not a curated record